AGCAGAUUCGCCCUGGAGCCAGUGACAGACCCUCCUCGCCCGCUACCACGGGACGGCCAGGUGCUGGAGCAGGGAGCCUAGCCCCGCCUGCGACCUCCCCCGUCUUUUAGGGGCGCUCAGCACUUCAGGAGCCCACCCGACCUGGUUCUCCAGACCCCCGCGAACGUCACCGCUGGAGUGAGGUUUGUGUUUACCACGCAAAGUCAGAAGUGUUUGGCAAUCCAUAUGCACAUCGCUUGGAAUGGGAAUCUGUGUAAAAGGUAAACCAGACUACUUCUGCUGGCGACCUGGAUUGGCUCCCUGCUCUGAUGGAAACGAUCCUCCCAAUCUAUCAACCCAGAAAGAAAAAAAGAAGAAGGAAAGAAAGAAAGAAAAGAAAAGAAGACCCCCCCCCCCCCCGUUUUCCUCUUCCACUGUUGUAUUUAAGCCAAUGGGAAAGUAUGGAGCGCUGUAAUUGAUUCGUAAUGAUCCAUAAGUCGAUGCUGGAAAGCGGGGGUGGGGUGGAGGUGCACGGAAACUGGGG
RNAcentral lists this long non-coding RNA (523 nucleotides) under Heterocephalus glaber (naked mole-rat). Its description in RNAcentral is "lncRNA (ENSHGLG00100033463.1)". Lineage: Eukaryota; Metazoa; Chordata; Mammalia; Rodentia; Bathyergidae. The record is from RNAcentral.